Long non-coding RNA from Salvia miltiorrhiza (redroot sage), 865 nucleotides. RefSeq lists it as uncharacterized. Lineage: Eukaryota; Viridiplantae; Streptophyta; Magnoliopsida; Lamiales; Lamiaceae. The record is from RefSeq and is a predicted model, not a curated record. The transcript has 3 exons.
UCUCCCUCUCUCUCACACACGGUUAUCUCACAACAAUUUUAUCUCUCUCUUUCACACACUCUCGGUUAUCUCACAAUAUAUAUUUAUUAUAUUUCUCUCUGCACGUAUAUAGAUAUAUCAUCUCCAAAAUCAGAUUUCUCUUAAUCUUUUUUUCUGAUUCAGCUUCUAUUUCUCUAUAUCUUUACCUAAAGCUUUAGAAUACUGUGAUUUUCUAUGUGAUUCAGGACUGCGGGAAACCAAUCUAUUUAGCCGAUACACGCUAUCCACACAAAAUUUUAGAUCUAAAUUUUACUGCGGACAUUCAACCAGAUCCAAGAAGAACAAAAUACAGAAGAAGAAAACGGUGAAGUACGACCUGAAAAUUGCAAAAGAAAAUGGAGAAGAAGAAAAUGAAAAAAGAAAAGAAAAGUGAAUUGCAGAAAAAAGGCGCUGAGAUUUGCAAAUAAAAAUGGAGAAAAACCAGCUAUGACAAAAGUCACUCUUUAAACUUCAGUUGCCUGCUGUUGUUCGAUCGGAGAAGGUGGACGACAAGAAUGACGAUGAAUAGCCUCCGAUCUGAAGGAGGAAGUGACACAUGGAUAAAGGAUCUAAGUUUUGGCGUGAUUUGAGAGAAGAGAGAGACGAUGGAGGCGAGAUGUACAAGAGGGGGAGAAAGAGAAAGGCGUAUAGACUAUGGAGGGCGUAUCAGAGGAAGAGAGAAUUGGGCUGAUGAUUUAAGGCCAAAAGAAUUAAAAUAUUUAUAUUUUUAUGAAUAUAGAAUUAAAUUAUGUAUAUUCUCUAAAGAAAAGAAUUAAAUUAUGUAUAUGUAUAAAAAAUAUUUAAUUGAAUGCCAAAUCUUUCUUAAAUUUAAACAAAUUGAGAAUUU